RNAcentral lists this ribosomal RNA (484 nucleotides) under uncultured bacterium. RNAcentral describes it as "partial 16S ribosomal RNA". It matches the Rfam family "Bacterial small subunit ribosomal RNA", at positions 30 to 507 of the family's 1533-position model. The record is from RNAcentral.
AUUGAACGCUGGCGGCAGGCCUAACACAUGCAAGUCGAGCGGAUGAAGGGAGCUUGCUCCUGGAUUCAGCGGCGGACGGGUGAGUAAUGCCUAGGAAUCUGCCUGGUAGUGGGGGAUAACGUCCGGAAACGGGCGCUAAUACCGCAUACGUCCUGAGGGAGAAAGUGGGGGAUCUUCGGACCUCACGCUAUCAGAUGAGCCUAGGUCGGAUUAGCUAGUUGGUGGGGUAAAGGCCUACCAAGGCGACGAUCCGUAACUGGUCUGAGAGGAUGAUCAGUCACACUGGAACUGGGACACGGUCCAGGGUCCUGAGGGAGGCAGCAGUGGGGAAUGUUGGACAGUAGGCGAAAGCCUGGUCCAGCCAUGCCACGUGUGUGAAGAAGGUCUUCGGAUUGUAAAGCACUUUAAGUUGGGAGGAAGGGCAGUAAGUUAAUACCUUGCUGUUUUGACGUUACCAACAGAAUAAGCACCGGCUAACUACGUG